ACUCCUGCGGGAGGCAGCAGUGGGGAAUUUUGGACAAUGGGCGAAAGCCUGAUCCAGCAAUGCCGCGUGUGUGAAGAAGGCCUUCGGGUUGUAAAGCACUUUUGUCCGGAAAGAAAUCCUUGGCUCUAAUACAGUCGGGGGAUGACGGUACCGGAAGAAUAAGCACCGGCUAACUACGUGCCAGCAGCCGCGGUAAUACGUAGGGUGCGAGCGUUAAUCGGAAUUACUGGGCGUAAAGCGUGCGCGGGCGGUUUGCUAAGACCGAUGUGAAAUCCCCGGGCUCAACCUGGGAACUGCAUUGGUGACUGGCAGGCUAGAGUAUGGCAGAGGGGGGUAGAAUUCCACGUGUAGCAGUGAAAUGCGUAGAGAUGUGGAGGAAUACCGAUGGCGAAGGCAGCCCCCUGGGCCAAUACUGACGCUCAUGCACGAAAGCGUGGGGAGCAAACAGGAUUAGAAACCCGUGUAGUCCCA
Molecule: ribosomal RNA, 471 nt
Filed under: uncultured organism
Description: partial 16S ribosomal RNA
Rfam family: Bacterial small subunit ribosomal RNA
Source: RNAcentral